GAUAAACGCUAGCGGCAGGCCUAACACAUGCAAGUCGAGGGGCAGCAUAGAUUGUAGCAAUACAAUUGGUGGCGACCGGCGCACGGGUGCGUAACGCGUAUGCAACCUACCCGUCACAGGGGGAUAAUCCGGAGAAAUCUGGUCUAAUACCCCAUAACAUAUGGAUCGGCAUCGGUUCAUGUUGAAAUUUUCGGGGGUGACGGAUGGGCCUGCGUAGCAUUAGCUUGUUGGUGAGGUAACGGCUCACCAAGGCGACGGUGAUUAGGGGGACUGAGAGGUUUUCCCCCCACACUGGUACUGAGCCACGGACCAGACUCCGACGGGAGGCAGCAGUGAGGAAUAUUGGUCAAUGGGCGCAAGCCUGAACCAGCCAUGCCGCGUGCAGGAUGACGGCUCUAUGAGUUGUAAACUGCUUUUGUACGAGGGUAAAGUGGGUUACGUGUAACCUUUUGAAAGUAUCGUACGAAUAAGGAUCGGCUAACUCCGUGCCAGCCGCCGCCGUAA
This 504-nucleotide ribosomal RNA is filed under the name uncultured bacterium. RNAcentral's name for it is "partial 16S ribosomal RNA". It matches the Rfam family "Bacterial small subunit ribosomal RNA", at positions 28 to 523 of the family's 1533-position model. The record is from RNAcentral.